Molecule: ribosomal RNA, 447 nt
Filed under: uncultured bacterium
Lineage: Bacteria
Description: partial 16S ribosomal RNA
Rfam family: Bacterial small subunit ribosomal RNA
Source: RNAcentral
AACGAACGCUGGCGGCAGGCUUAACACAUGCAAGUCGAACGCCCCGCAAGGGGAGUGGCAGACGGGUGAGUAACGCGGGGGAAUCUACCGUACCCUACGGAACAACAGUUGGAAACGACUGCUAAUACCGUAUACGCCCUACGGGGGAAAGAUUUAUCGGGGUAUGAUGAGCCCGCGUUGGAUUAGCUAGUUGGUGGGGUAAAGGCCUACCAAGGCGACGAUCCAUAGCUGGUCUGAGAAGAUGAUCAGCCACAUUGGGACUGGGACACGGCCCAAACUCCUACGGGAGGCAGCAGUGGGGAAUAUUGGACAACGGGCGCAAGCCUGAUCCAGCCAUGCCGCGUGAGUGAUGAAGGUCUUAGGAUUGUAAAGCUCUUUCACCGAUGAAGAUAAUGACGGUAGUCGGAGAAGAAGCCCCGGCUAACUUCGUGCCAGCCGCCGCGGUAA